AGCACUAAUAAGGAGAGGUAAAAAAGAUUUUACGUCUGAAAAUUGGAAUCGCUCUUCUUUCCCCUCCAAAAAAAAAUUUAAGGGCUCACACCAGUUAUGUUACCUUUAUGUACCUAUUUUAUCAAAAGUCGGAUACAUUUCGGGGAUCUUUAUUGUAAUAAUUAUUCGUUAAUAGACAGUAAUCAAUUAUAACGCUAUUUUAUUAUAUUAAUUAAUAUUUAUUAAUUAGUGAUAAGGGUUAUAUUUUUCCAUCAGAUAAUAUAUUGCUACGAUAUUCAUCUACUCCGAAAUUUGAUAAUUUUUUAAUCGAUUUCGCGAAUAAUCGAUAUUCGGAGCUGAUUUCAUUCGGAGCAAUCAAUUAAUAGUCCUAUUCGGAGUAUUCGUCGUCGUAGUAACAUCCAAAUUUUUAUAACCAGGUAUUCGUAGUAAUUGUUGUCGGAGUAAAUGUAUUCGGAGGAUUUUUUUACAGUGUCGGAGUAAAUGAAUGUCGGGGCAUCAUCAGUUCGUGGCAAUCUCCGGAACCCGUUUUUACGUCGUCGUUUAUUUCUCAUUAUUUCGUUAUUAUUAUUAGUAGUUAAUGUGAUUUCGUAAAUUUUCUACUACUAUGGCGAUUAUAUUAAUCGAAACUCGCGAUUGGUAAUUUUACGGCGAUUACGAUCAAUAGGGCGUUUGUCGUGUGGCCGGAAGACCGCUUCGAUAAUGGUUCGACCCGUUGGCCGAGAGUGCUGGCUCAAUCAAUAGUGCUGUUAACAAUCUACAACGGAUUUAUUAAACGGGUAACGCAUUUCUGUUCGUUAAAAAAAAACCUGUGCGCUGACGUUUUUACAACGAUUACGGCGUUUGUUGUAUCCCGAGGAAUGUUUCAAUAACGGCUCGGCCUGUUGGCCAACAGUGCUGGUUCUAAUGGACAACGGAUGUAUUACACGGACUCACGUCCGUUGUGCCCGUAUGAAUAUGCUGGAAAUCGCUGAUGGUUUUAGUUUUUUAUUACGAGGGUAAUUCAAAUUUACACCAAACCCUACCCGACCCGAAGAGUGCUGACUCUAAUUCAUAAUUAGUUGUAUCGCACAGAUUGUAUCCGUUGUGCCCGGAUAACUGAGCUAUAAAUGUUGACUGUCGUCGCUAUUGGAUUUAUUGCAAAGACUGUGCUACCGUUGUGGUGCCAGGAUAAGAACACUGACCUAGAGAUUGAUUACAGUCAUCGCUAUUGGAUUUAUUGCAAAGACUGUGCUACCAUUGUGGUUCCAGGAUAAAGACUGAGCUAGAGAUUCAUGGCAGUCAUCGUUAUUGGAUUUAUUGCACCGUCUGGGCAUCUGUUUUGCCCGGUCGACUGUGAUUGAUUAGCGGUCAACUGACCCAAAGAAUGCUGGCUCUAAUUCAUGUUGGUUGUAUUACACAGAUAGUGCACGGCCUUUGGUAAAUUUCACUUCUGUUGAUGUGUUGAUAGUUCUGUGCUGUUGGUUUUUUUUUUAGCCUAUGCUUGCCAUCCUUUACUGUUUGCCGUUCCUCCAAAAUUCCUGUCAAACCUCGAUUCCAUAAGAUAUUGCCAUUCGACAAUGGAGGAUCAUCAAGAUUACUAUGUGCAGUCUGCUUAGGAGUUCAUCGAAAACGUUUAUUC
Long non-coding RNA from Daktulosphaira vitifoliae (grape phylloxera), 1618 nucleotides. RefSeq lists it as uncharacterized. The record is from RefSeq and is a predicted model, not a curated record. The transcript is spliced from 10 exons. NCBI's taxonomy places the organism in Eukaryota, Metazoa, Arthropoda, Insecta, Hemiptera, Phylloxeridae.